Molecule: long non-coding RNA, 765 nt
Organism: Ipomoea triloba (trilobed morning glory)
Lineage: Eukaryota; Viridiplantae; Streptophyta; Magnoliopsida; Solanales; Convolvulaceae
Exons: 4
Source: RefSeq, a predicted model, not a curated record
UCAAAUCUGCUAAGUAUCCCUCUCCUCCCCUCCCCUCCCAAACGCUGGCCUCCAUUAACAUCUAUGGCCGACGGCAGUAGGCUAUCCCAAACGACGACGGGCGAACUCUUCUCCACUCGACCCCGGCGAUCUGAUCUGCUAAGUGCGUUGCUAGUUAUCGCCUCUCCCAACCGCGUCGACCUCCGAUCCCAUCUACGGUCAACGACGAAACUAUAGCAACUGACCGGUGACCUGGGCGAGCUCCUCUCCACUCGACCCGGCGAUUGCAAUAGCUCCAGCGCAGUUCCACUUGACUACGACGCAAAUCUUCAAUAGCAACCAAGGGAGACUUGCAAUAGUGAUAUCAUGACAAGGAAGGUUUUGGCUAUUUAUGAUAGGUAGCUGCAAGGUGGUUUAAUCAGCAUGUCUUGACAAUCCCUUGCAUAUUGUCUGUUGCAAGUCCUUGAGCAGCACAAGUUUAUGGACUUAAUGUACUAGAUGAAAGGAUUCAGGUAUGGAGUAGAUUGAGCCGUGAGAGUGCUAGCAGUAGAUCUACUUCGCCUUUAUGAUUAGCUUAGUGUUUGUUGAGUUUAUUCAAACAUUUCAGGCCUGCGUGCCUUAGACUCUUGAUAUGUAUUGACUUAUCUAGAUUAUGAUUGCCUUUGAGGAUUAAUGAGUUGGAUUUUGGAUUUUGCCUUAGCAUAUAGGUGCUGGUUUACCUAGAUGUGGCGUAGCACCCUCUGUGGUUUAGUAUCGGUUCCGCAUUAAUAUAAUUUGGUUAUGAGA